Molecule: ribosomal RNA, 733 nt
Filed under: Meloidogyne sp. 0 VM-2019
Lineage: Eukaryota; Metazoa; Nematoda; Chromadorea; Rhabditida; Meloidogynidae
Description: partial large subunit ribosomal RNA
Rfam family: Eukaryotic large subunit ribosomal RNA
Source: RNAcentral
CCCCCCUUGGAGAGAGAGUUAAGAGGACGUGACACCGGUGAGGUGGAAACGGAUAGAGUCGGCGUAUCUUGCAUUUAUUCAUUUACAUUUAUUUGUAUUUUUUAGCUUUGAGCUCCAUAUUGGGACAAAGUUAAAUUCUAUAAUUAUUUGUGAUGCAUUUACUUGCUUGGUGCGGGGGGAUUUCUGAAACAAAUUUGUGCCCUACAUUUUGAGGCCAGCUUGCUGGUACCCGAAUGUGGUUAGCAUUUUUUGUUUUAGUUGUAAAAAAAGCAUGGCUUACGGACUUUAUGUGGAUUGAUUUGGUUGUAAUUUACGGCCGCAUGCAACCCUUGCUUUUCACUCUUUUCGGUCUGUGUAAUGUUCUCAUACUUAUUCCCCAUGUAAAAGCCGGUCAUCAAUCCAACCCGUCUUGAAACACGGACCAAGGAGUUUAUCGUGGGCCCAAGUUUUUGGGUGUUUAAAACCUAAGGGCGAAAUGAAAGUAAAUGACUCUUCAAGUCAAAUGUGCAACCUUUUCUUUUUGAAAAGUGCACCAUGGCCCCUUUCAAACUGUUUCCCCAAAAGGGUGCCCGAACAUCGUACGGAGUGACUCCCAAAACAUGGAAAUUUAUUCAUGAACGCUGACGACCCCAUAAAAAACUCUGGGGAAACUCAAACGCCCCCAAAACUCUAAAAUCACUCCUGGGACGACACCACGGGCUCUUAUGAUUAUUGCAGCUCUCUAUUUACCAGC